AUCCAGCUGAUGAGUCCCAAGUAGGACGAAACUUGCGUCAAACCGGAU
This 48-nucleotide non-coding RNA is filed under the name Schistosoma curassoni. The record is from RNAcentral. Lineage: Eukaryota; Metazoa; Platyhelminthes; Trematoda; Strigeidida; Schistosomatidae.